Molecule: small nuclear RNA, 195 nt
Filed under: Leersia perrieri
Lineage: Eukaryota; Viridiplantae; Streptophyta; Magnoliopsida; Poales; Poaceae
Description: snRNA U2
Rfam family: U2 spliceosomal RNA
About the family: U2 is a small nuclear RNA (snRNA) component of the spliceosome (involved in pre-mRNA splicing). Complementary binding between U2 snRNA (in an area lying towards the 5' end but 3' to hairpin I) and the branchpoint sequence (BPS) of the intron results the bulging out of an unpaired adenosine, on the BPS, which initiates a nucleophilic attack at the intronic 5' splice site, thus starting the first of two transesterification reactions that mediate splicing.
Source: Rfam by way of RNAcentral
AUACCUUUCUCUGCCUUUUGGCUAAGAUCAAGUGUAUUAUCUGUUCUUAUCAGUUUAAUAUCUGACUAGCAAAUGUGCCCGUCCGCUGCAACGGGCAAAAUCAAAUUAUAAACAUUUAUAGAAAAACAAAGGACUAAAAAUAAACUUCUUUCUUCGGUCAAGGAAUGUAAAAUAGACUUCAUUGGCCUGCCCGAU